RNAcentral lists this non-coding RNA (184 nucleotides) under Luteitalea pratensis. RNAcentral's name for it is "6S / SsrS RNA". It matches the Rfam family "6S / SsrS RNA". Rfam says of the family: E. coli 6S RNA was the first non coding RNA to be sequenced, but its function was unknown until recently. It consists of 184 nucleotides that fold into an extended hairpin structure with a large single-stranded internal bulge. The record is from Rfam by way of RNAcentral. Lineage: Bacteria; Pseudomonadati; Acidobacteriota; Vicinamibacteria; Vicinamibacterales; Vicinamibacteraceae.
GGAGGCCUGCGUUGUGCGUGAUGGGUAGAGGCUCGCUUGAGCCGAUGUUUUACCCCAAGCGAAUCACGACGGCUGCGUGGUGUGCAUGCCUCCGCAGAGAGGAAGCCUGAAGCGCGGCUUUUACAGUGGUUCCACCUGCUUCUGCAGGUUCAACGACCUCCCCACACGGCAAUGCGGGUACUGA